CAAAGAACCGUCUGCUCAGCUAAUGUGUUUCUUCCACAAGGUUUAGAAUAAAUGGAAAAACUGGAAUGCUCCUGACCCUGAACUAAUUUUUCUUAAGUGAUCCUUGAAACCAAGAUCUGUGGUAAGGUGGGAGUUGAAAUGGAAUACUUCAGCAAAUGGCACAAGAAAAGAUAGAGUACAAACUCCUUGGGAACAGAGUGUUUUUUAUGCUGCUAUGUGCCUAGUGCCUAGAGUAGUACCUGGCAUAGAGUAGGACUCACUACAUAUUUGACGAGUGGAUGAAUGACUGUCUCCUGUACCUUAUUUCUGGAGCCACAACCUGCCCUUGUUAUAACAGAUGAAGGAAAAGGUGGGAGAAACCAAUCAUCUGGAAGACCCUCUGAGAUGCCUUGGAGUCACACACCAUUGUUCUUAUUGACAGAUCAGUCCUGAGUCUCCAAUAAAGGUAGUUACUGCUCCUGUCUCUAUUGCUCUGAUGAGGACACUGGUUCAGAGAGGUUGUGCUUCUUGAAUCCAUAGAGGAGACACAACCAUCUAUAAACAACAAUAUUUUGAGCCUUGGCAGAGAAGGAUGAUAAAAAAUGAAGAUUCUGAGGAGCAGAAAUUUCUUACAUCAAGUUACCACAGUGGCGACCACAUGUUCUGAUCCUCUUCAAGGCAUGUUUAUUGGAAGAUUUUGUUUUUCUGUAAAGGUACAUUUUCAUUGCCUACUUGAGGAGACUUAAAAAUCCAUAACUGAGUGUAGGAACUACUCAUGUAGGAAGCCACUUGCAUAGAUAUGUGUUAGUUAUGUUAUUGAUGGACAACCUGCUGAUUUCUGGAGCUGUGUCUCCACUUGGUGGGAGGUACUGGAAUUACAAUACAUUCACAAGUUUCAUUUGGGUAGAAUAAUUGGCUUUAAAAUCAUUCAGCUGCUUGUAGGAAGCAAGGAGGCAACACCAUCAACAGCCAGGAUGCAGUUACCUGAAUCCUUAUUGCAGUUGCCUUAUUGCAGUGAAUUACUUAAGAUAUAUUGAUUUCUUCCCCAUAGAACUAUAUUGUUUUCCUGCAUAUACCAUUAUGAGC
RNAcentral lists this long non-coding RNA (1065 nucleotides) under Heterocephalus glaber (naked mole-rat). Its description in RNAcentral is "lncRNA (ENSHGLG00000042551.1)". The record is from RNAcentral. Lineage: Eukaryota; Metazoa; Chordata; Mammalia; Rodentia; Bathyergidae.